RNAcentral lists this ribosomal RNA (492 nucleotides) under uncultured bacterium. RNAcentral describes it as "partial 16S ribosomal RNA". It matches the Rfam family "Bacterial small subunit ribosomal RNA", at positions 29 to 507 of the family's 1533-position model. The record is from RNAcentral.
AAUGAACGCUGGCGGCGUGCCUAACACAUGCAAGUCGAACGACAGCACAGUGAGCUUGUGCCUUUAAGGGUGGCGACUGGCGGAUGGGUGACGCAUACAUCGCCAACUUCUAUUUCGGGGGGGAUAACGUAGGGCAGCUUACGCUACUACCGCAUAUGACGUACCGGUGAGUGCGGUGGAGCUUCGGACCUUUGGUGUCUGUAAUAGCCGAUGCCGGAUUAGCUAGUUGGGGGGGUAAAGGCCCACCAAGGCGACGAUCCGUAGCGGAUCUGAGAGGAUGAUCGGCCACACUGGAACUGAGACACGGUCCAGACUCCUACGGGAGGCAGCAGUGGGGAAUAUUGGGCAAUGGGCGCAAGCCUGACCCAGCCAUACCGCGUGGGUGACGAAGGCCUUCGGGUCGUAAAGCCCUUUUGUUGGGAAAGAACAGCAGCAGAAUAAAACGCGGCUGUUCUGACGGUACCCAAAGAAUAAGCACCGGCUAACUACGUG